Molecule: transfer RNA, 82 nt
Filed under: Patescibacteria group bacterium
Lineage: Bacteria
Also listed under: 3 other names
Description: tRNA-Tyr
Rfam family: tRNA
About the family: Transfer RNA (tRNA) molecules are approximately 80 nucleotides in length.
Source: RNAcentral
GGGAGCGUCGCAUAGCGGCAAUUGCAACAGACUGUAAAUCUGUCGCCUCACGGCUUCGGAGGUUCGAGUCCUCCCGCUCCCA